GACGAACGCUGGCGGCGUGCUUAACACAUGCAAGUCGAACGGAAAGGCCCUGCUUGCAGGGUACUCGAGUGGCGAACGGGUGAGUAACACGUGGGUGAUCUGCCCUGCACUUCGGGAUAAGCUUGGGAAACUGGGUCUAAUACCGGAUAGGAGCCAUCUUUAGUGUGGUGGUUGGAAAGUUUUUUCGGUGUAGGAUGAGCUCGCGGCCUAUCAGCUUGUUGGUGGGGUAAUGGCCUACCAAGGCGGCGACGGGUAGCCGGCCUGAGAGGGUGUACGGCCACAUUGGGACUGAGAUACGGCCCAGACUCCUACGGGAGGCAGCAGUGGGGAAUAUUGCACAAUGGGCGCAAGCCUGAUGCAGCGACGCCGCGUGGGGGAUGAAGGCCUUCGGGUUGUAAACUCCUGUCGCUAGGGACGAAGCUUUUUUGUGACGGUACCUAGAUAAGAAGCACCGGCUAACUACGUG
RNAcentral lists this ribosomal RNA (466 nucleotides) under uncultured bacterium. RNAcentral's name for it is "partial 16S ribosomal RNA". It matches the Rfam family "Bacterial small subunit ribosomal RNA", at positions 28 to 507 of the family's 1533-position model. The record is from RNAcentral.